Molecule: ribosomal RNA, 501 nt
Filed under: uncultured bacterium
Lineage: Bacteria
Description: partial 16S ribosomal RNA
Rfam family: Bacterial small subunit ribosomal RNA
Source: RNAcentral
AUUGAACGCUGGCGGCAGGCUUAACACAUGCAAGUCGAGCGGGGGAAGGUAGCUUGCUACCGGACCUAGCGGCGGACGGGUGAGUAAUGCUUAGGAAUCUGCCUAUUAGUGGGGGACAACAUCUCGAAAGGGAUGCUAAUACCGCAUACGUCCUACGGGAGAAAGCAGGGGAUCUUCGGACCUUGCGCUAAUAGAUGAGCCUAAGUCGGAUUAGCUAGUUGGUGGGGUAAAGGCCUACCAAGGCGACGAUCUGUAGCGGGUCUGAGAGGUUGAUCCGCCACACGGGGACUGAGACACGGCCCAGACUCCUACGGGAGGCAGCAGUGGGGAAUAUUGGACAAUGGGGGGAACCCUGAUCCAGCCAUGCCGCGUGUGUGAAGAAGGCCUUAUGGUUGUAAAGCACUUUAAGCGAGGAGGAGGCUACUCUAGUUAAUACCUAGGGAUAGUGGACGUUACUCGCAGAAUAAGCACCGGCUAACUCUGUGCCAGCAGCCGCAGUAA